This 527-nucleotide ribosomal RNA is filed under the name Sapromyza apicalis. RNAcentral describes it as "partial 16S ribosomal RNA". It matches the Rfam family "Bacterial large subunit ribosomal RNA", at positions 1892 to 2619 of the family's 2925-position model. The record is from RNAcentral. Lineage: Eukaryota; Metazoa; Arthropoda; Insecta; Diptera; Lauxaniidae.
AGUUUUUUGCUUGACCCUGUGGUCUACCUGCCCCUGAGUUUUAAUGGCCGCAGUAUAUUAACUGUGCAAAGGUAGCAUAAUCAUUAGUCUUUUAAUUGGAGGCUGGUAUGAAUGGUUGGACGAAAUAUUAACUGUUUCAAAUAAAUUUAUUAUAGAACUUUAUUUUUUAGUCAAAAAGCUAAAAUUUACUUAAAAGACGAGAAGACCCUAUAAAUCUUUAUAUUUUAGUUUAUUUUAAUUAUAAAGAAUUAUUAUAUUUAAAUAAAUUAAAAUAUUUUAUUGGGGUGAUAUUAAAAUUUAAUAAACUUUUAAUUUGUUAAAUCAUUAAUUUAUGAAUAAUUGAUCCAAUUUUAUUGAUUAUAAAUUUAAGUUACUUUAGGGAUAACAGCGUAAUUUUUUUGGAGAGUUCAUAUCGAUAAAAAAGAUUGCGACCUCGAUGUUGGAUUAAGAGGUAUAUUUAGGUGUAGCCGCUUAAAUGUUAAGUCUGUUCGACUUUUAAAUUCUUACGUGAUCUGAGUUCAGACCGG